This 1101-nucleotide ribosomal RNA is filed under the name Triticum aestivum (bread wheat). RNAcentral's name for it is "partial small subunit ribosomal RNA". Lineage: Eukaryota; Viridiplantae; Streptophyta; Magnoliopsida; Poales; Poaceae. The record is from RNAcentral.
AUGCCCCUUUCAACAUUAUUUGUGCCUUUGCAGAGAUAUUCAGCAACAUCAUUUUUUGGCAAGAGGCUUUUUUCAGAUGAUUAUGUUGAAGAUGAUGAUCAAAAAGGAACUAAAGAGCAACCAAUCCCUGUGUCUCCGGAUGUUCAAGUUUUGGGGGAGAGAUCAUUCAAUGGUUCAUGCUCUAGUAUGGUAAACACGGCAGACAACUUAUACAACACGAAGCUUUCUUUAGGAUCUUCAUCAAGAGGUAAAGAGAAUUUGCCUCCAAAAAGGAUAAUACAGCCAAGCAAGUUUCUCUGCUCUCCAUAUGAUCACAAUGAGAGAGGACCUCUUCAGCCACAUGAGAUAGAACUACACAAGGGAAUAGUGGCACUUAGCAAAGUUGAACCUCACAGAAGCCAAGUUGUUGUGUUGAUUGAUAAAACCACCCUUUUCCUUGGACAACUCGGUGAUUCAUUUGAUGCGGCUGGUCAUGUGGAAGCUUAUGUUUUCAACGUUUUUUGUCGGAUCCUGUUUCGAGAAAAUCAUCCAAGGAGGUCAAAAAGACACUACUUCUUCACUACACUAGGUGAUUAUUUUCUUGGGAAUUGGUCCUCUGAAGAAGGAAGGAGGGACAUGAGGAGAAAAGCACUCAGAAGCUUCAAUGGAGCUGGAAAAGCAUUGCCUCUACAUGAAAGUGAACGUAUGUUCUUUUCGUCAGUUCAUGGUGAGCAUUGGUUCUUAUUCAUUGUCGACAUUAUAGCAAGAAAAUUUGUCUUCCUAGAUUCAUAUUAUGAAGGGAACACACCAUUCCAUAUCGGGAUCAGAGAUUUGAUGAUAAACAAUUUCAUAAAAACAUGGGAAGAAUCUAAUCUGAGAGGGAUGGGUUUCAGAAAGUUUGGUGUAGAGUACCCAAACAUGCCAAAGCAAAUAGGAAGCGACGCAUGUGGGAUUUUUGCUCUUAAGUGGAUGCAAACUUGGGCUCCACGAAAUCCUCUGCAGCGACAGUUCACGAUGAACGACGUAGCAGACGCAAGGGUCAGAUUUGCUGUUGACACUCUAUUUAGUAUUCACAACACAGAGGAUAAAGGCAAAGCACUAGUCAAGAACUUCGCAUGGUAA